This 483-nucleotide long non-coding RNA is filed under the name Manacus vitellinus (golden-collared manakin). Its description in RNAcentral is "lncRNA (ENSMVIG00005000120.1)". Lineage: Eukaryota; Metazoa; Chordata; Aves; Passeriformes; Pipridae. The record is from RNAcentral.
CAGUCCUGCAGCGUGCAACCACUACUGGGGCAGCUCGUGACUCCUCUUGGCCAUGGACCUCAGAGCCCAUACAGGUGAAAUGUGAGACGUAACUUUGCCUUGUGUGGCCCUAAUGAACAUAAGGUGGGCAAAGCUGCUGGAGCAUCCUCAUGCCAUGAUCUUCGAGGAGCAACAUCGCAGUGCAGUGCCUUGUCAUGGUGGGGCAUGGCACUGAGAGCUGCUGGCCACCAGGAGGGAGACAAAGGGAAGGUGACCAUCUUUCCGACAUGGAGCAUGUAGCAGCUGCCUGUGAUGCUGCCUUGCAAAAGUGGUGGGGAAGUAUUUACAUUAUUAAACAUUGUGAUGACAAGUGUCUUGGGAUCUUGCAAGGCUGUAUUGCUAAGUAAGGCAACAAGCAGUGUAACUGCUGGCAUGUUUUGAAGUAUUAGAUAUCUUGGUCUCCAUCCAGGACGCUUUUGGAAAGGAACUGAUCCCUGUAGUUCC